UCGCAUCGAUGUAUCUUUACCUACACAUUUAUACAGUAUCCAUACCGCGAGUAGCAUGCAAAGUAAUGGAGCUUUUUGUGAACCGCAUGGAAAACUAGUUCCACGCUAUUGUUGCGUCCCAAACGGGGCCAAGCUUUCGCCCCGUGUCAAGCGGCCAGCGCAGUUGCCAUCCAACGCGACCUUGAACUUUCUUGAACCAUAAAAUGGCGGCCAGGAAGUGAUUUUUAGAAAUGUUAUUGAUGAUAUUUGCUGUCUUAUAAGCGAAAUAUGAUGUGGCAUGGGAUACGUUAUCAGCCCGUGGAUACAUAAGGUCUUGCUUGUGCUGGCCGCAGUAGGACACAACAGCCACAGAGAGGUAGAGAUGCUGUCACAGCCUGUUGUCGACAGCCCAGUGCCAUCCAACCUCGACUUGGUAACCAGUGAGAAGUCUUCAGCACUCAUCCUAGUGACAGUCAUGUGUAUCUUGGGUGGAGAGGCACUUUCUGACUUUUCAGAUUGAAAGAUUGUCAAAGUCAGACGUCUGAGUUGGGAACAGCCUGGAUCAGCUGCACAUUGGAGGCCCGCCCCAUCGCCCAGACAUUAAACCUUUCGGUGGACUGUUUAUACCGGAAGAACAAGAUUGUGUCUUCGGAGUGGUCCCUACAUCCCCAAGUCUCCUAGUGGAUAAUGAUGAGUUUGGACACAUGGCAGUAACUAUUUCCAUGUUGUUUUAUUCAGAUGAUGACUUUCAACAAAUGGUGACAUCAAUAAAUGACAAUGCUAACAUCAAACAGCCCCAAGAUCCUGACCACAACAAAGGUGACUGGCACGAUGUUACUGUGGAAGAAAUGAAGGCUUUUGAUGGUGUCUUGAUGUACAUGGAUGUUGCCAGGCUUGACCAGUUAUAGCUGGUUACAGUGUCCAGGAACUGAAGUAUUUUCUAGAUCCAGAUUUGUGCAGAUAAGUAGGUCCUCACCUGUCAAUGAUGACACACCUGUGCCAGGUGACAAAUUGUAAUAAAUCAGAUACAUUCUUGACAGUAUGAGAGCAGCAUUUAGAGUCAUUACAACCUCCACAAGCAAGUGUCAGUGGACAAGGCGAUGGUUCCUUGGGCCUUGCUGGGCAGGUAGUUGUCAAAUUGUGUGAAAACAUAAGGAACAAGGGUCAUUUCAUCUACACAGACAACGUUAUACCAGUGCUACCUUUGGUGACUUUCUGUUGCAUUUAGAGUCAUUACAACCUCCACAAGCAAGUGUCAGUGGACAAGGCGAUGGUUCCUUGGGCCUUGCUGGGCAGGUAGUUGUCAAAUUGUGUGAAAACAUAAGGAACAAGGGUCAUGUCAUCUACACAGACAACGUUUAUACCAGUGCUACCUUUGGUGACUUUCUGUUGCAGAAGGACACGAAUGGCGGGCUACCCCGCUGUUGAUCUCCCUUCAGGUUGAGACACAAAUCACCUGCAGAGAGGGACCAUCGACUGGUGAGCUUGUGGGGACUUUGUUGCUGCCAUGUGGAAGGAUAACAAGGUUGUCUUCGACCUUAGCACAGCACACUCUCCUGAGGAAGACAGUUUGACGGCCAAGAGGAGGAAGAAGGACGGCAGACGUGAAGAAUACUGCCACAUCCAAGGGAGAUAAUCCACUGUCACUGCACGUGCCAAUCAAGCUUCUUCAGUAACCAAUGCCUGGUGAUCAAUCCAAGGUGGAUAAUCCACUUUCAGGGCACCUGCCAAUCAAGAUUCAUCAGUCACCUAUGCCUCUAGGUUCUACUACCCCAAAUCAGAACCAGUUGGGACAGUGCGGUUUUCGUAGCCUUCAGUGCAGAUCACGAAAUGUCUGCAGGCUGUGAUUGGAGGAUAUUGUGUUUUAGCAUGCCUGAUGUUGACUGGGGAGGUAGAUGUGCACUCAUGCAGAAGAAAUAGAAGUUUUCACAUCCAAUUUGGCUUUUGGAGAAGCUGAUCUGAAGUCUGGUCUUGGCAGUGUGUGAUCGACAACCCUUGUUUUGCCUCGCUGCGCUCUAUUACCUUGAAGAAGUUGUGGAACUUGCAGGUGAAGCAAUUCCACACCUCCAUAUCAGUUCUCACCUGUGCAACGCCUUGGCCAUCUUCCGGAGGCAAGGGAAGUAACUGACUAUAAAAGUCCAGUUUCCACCCUUGCCGAACUAUGUUGGAAUUUCGUGGCUGGAUCAUAGCCCAACCAGUGGCUAUUACAAGUUAUGUUCCUUCUGUGUCCCUCCAGCUGACCAAUCAGUUUCCUCCUCCCUCUCAUAGCACUUGCAUUUGCUUCAAACAAUAUGGCUGCGCAUAGUCAAGAUGAUCUGAUCGAUAAUCAAGAUCUAUAUUGUAAUAAAAUGGGUCUUGCCUCGUGAAGCGCAUCAGAUAAUUGGAGUACCAUGAUUAGAAACAUGAAAAGAUUUGGAAAAUAUCUGUCAACAUCCAGUUGACAGUACACAUGCGUUGGAAAUCCUGCAGUCGAACAAAUUCUGCACUUUGAAUCAAUGUUGUUUACGAACCUAGUUUCUUAUGCGAUUUUGAUUGGACUAUGCAAAGACUUGUUAGUCUAGCCACAAUGGAACUCCAGAAUUCCAGCCUAGUUAUACAAGGGUUGAAACGGCUUUUAUAGUCAAUUAACUCCCUUGUUUCGGGAAGAUGACUUUCCUCCUGCUGCCCGAAGAUCAGAAGACACUAUUUAUUUCCUGUUAUCACAUUUUCUGUUACAUGACAGUGCACCCAAGCCCUAGUCGAAGUUGACUUUGCUGGACUCCCGCAGUUGAUGAGAUGAACAGCACUGUGGGCUCUUCCAUGGAAGUUUCGAGCAAAGGUUGUAUCACGAGUAGGAUUUAACAAUGAUUAGUUCAUUGCUGGGACAUUGCUAGAACAUCGCUAGGGCAUUGCUGAGACAUUGCUGGGACAUUGCUGGGACAUCACUGGAACAUCGCUGGGAUAUUAAUGGGAUAUUAAUGGGACAUUGGUGGGACAUAGCUAGGACAUUGCUGGGACAUAGCUCGGACAUUGCUGGGACAUAGAUGGGACAUUGCUGGGACAUCGCUGCGACAUUGCUGGGACAUCGCUGGAACAUCGCUGGGAUAUUAAUGGGACAUAGCUGGGUCAUUGCUGGACAUCGCUGGGACAUUGCUGGAACAUCGCUGGGAUAUUUAAUUGGACAUCGCUGGGACAUUGCUGGAACAUCGCUGGGACAUUGCUGGGACAUUGCUGGAACAUCGCUGGGAUAUUUAAUGGGACAUCGCUGGGACAUUGCUGGGACAUUGUUGGGACAUCGCUGGGACAUUGCUGGGACAUACUUAGCAUGGAGGGGAUCAUCUGGGGCUUUUAAAUAUGGCGUUGAAAUCAACCCAUAAAUGGUCAAAUUCAUGGAUUAAUAAGAAUAAAUUUGUCCAUUUAAAAUUCAAAUUCUGCCCUGUUUGUUUUUCUUGUUGACCUCAAUACACAAAACACAAAUGGCUCCAUCAUUAAGCAACCACCAUUUGGUUUUUAUACCACCGGCAUAUAAUGCGGGGGGAUAUAGCGAUCAGCCAGUCUGUCUGUCUCUCUGUCUGUCCGUCCGUAACCAUUUCCUUUCUGGGGCAGAACUAAAAAACAAUUCAGUGUAUUUGAUCGAAACUUGGCAAAUCUAUCAGUCACAUACUGAAGUCAUGCCUUUUGCU
Molecule: long non-coding RNA, 3641 nt
Filed under: Haliotis rufescens (red abalone)
Lineage: Eukaryota; Metazoa; Mollusca; Gastropoda; Lepetellida; Haliotidae
Description: uncharacterized LOC124122680, transcript variant X7
Source: RNAcentral